GCGUUCGGCAGCUACCAUGCAGUCGACGGUAACAGGAUUAGCUUGCUAAUCGCUGACGAGUGGCGGACGGGUGAGUAAUGCUUGGGAACUUGCCUUUGCGAGGGGGAUAACAGUUGGAAACGACUGCUAAUACCGCAUAAUGUCUACGGACCAAACGGGGCUUCGGCUCCGGCGCAAAGAGAGGCCCAAGUGAGAUUAGCUAGUUGGUAAGGUAAAGGCUUACCAAGGCAACGAUCUCUAGCUGUUCUGAGAGGAAGAUCAGCCACACUGGAACUGAGACACGGUCCAGACUCCUACGGGAGGCAGCAGUGGGGAAUAUUGCACAAUGGGGGAAACCCUGAUGCAGCCAUGCCGCGUGUGUGAAGAAGGCCUUCGGGUUGUAAAGCACUUUCAGUUGUGAGGAAAAGUUAGUAGUUAAUACCUGCUAGCCGUGACGUUAACAACAGAAGAAGCACCGGCUAACUCCGUGCCAGCAGCCGCGGUAAUACGGAGGGUGCGAGCGUUAAUCGGAAUUACUGGGCGUAAAGCGCACGCAGGCGGUUUGUUAAGCUAGAUGUGAAAGCCCCGGGCUCAACCUGGGAUGGUCAUUUAGAACUGGCAGACUAGAGUCUUGGAGAGGGGAGUGGAAUUCCAGGUGUAGCGGUGAAAUGCGUAGAUAUCUGGAGGAACAUCAGUGGCGAAGGCGACUCCCUGGCCAAAGACUGACGCUCAUGUGCGAAAGUGUGGGUAGCGAACAGGAUUAGAUACCCUGGUAGUCCACACCGUAAACGCUGUCUACUAGCUGUUUGUGGCUUUAAGCCGUGAGUAGCGAAGCUAACGCGAUAAGUAGACCGCCUGGGGAGUACGGCCGCAAGGUUAAAACUCAAAUGAAUUGACGGGGCCCGCACAAGCGGUGGAGCAUGUGGUUUAAUUCGAUGCAACGCGAAGAACCUUACCUACACUUGACAUGCAGAGAACUUUUCAGAGAUGGAUUGGUGCCUUCGGGAACUCUGACACAGUGCUGCAUGGCUGUCGUCAGCUCGUGUCGUGAGAUGUUGGGUUAAGUCCCGCAACGAGCGCAACCCUUGUCCUUAGUUGCAGCAUUCAGUUGGGCACUCUAAGGAGACUGCCGUU
RNAcentral lists this ribosomal RNA (1113 nucleotides) under Alteromonas sp. RNAcentral describes it as "bacterial SSU rRNA". It matches the Rfam family "Bacterial small subunit ribosomal RNA", at positions 39 to 1156 of the family's 1533-position model. Lineage: Bacteria; Pseudomonadati; Pseudomonadota; Gammaproteobacteria; Alteromonadales; Alteromonadaceae. The record is from RNAcentral.